RNAcentral lists this ribosomal RNA (454 nucleotides) under uncultured bacterium. RNAcentral's name for it is "partial 16S ribosomal RNA". It matches the Rfam family "Bacterial small subunit ribosomal RNA", at positions 28 to 507 of the family's 1533-position model. The record is from RNAcentral.
GAUGAACGCUGACAGAAUGCUUAACACAUGCAAGUCAACUUGAACUUCGGUUUGGGUGGCGGACGGGUGAGUAACGCGUAAAGAACUUGCCUCACAGUUAGGGACAACAUUUGGAAACGAAUGCUAAUACCUGAUAUUAUGAUUUUAGGGCAUCCUAGAAUUAUGAAAGCUAUAUGCGCUGUGAGAGAGCUUUGCGUCCCAUUAGCUAGUUGGAGAGGUAACGGCUCACCAAGGCGAUGAUGGGUAGCCGGCCUGAGAGGGUGAACGGCCACAAGGGGACUGAGACACGGCCCUUACUCCUACGGGAGGCAGCAGUGGGGAAUAUUGGACAAGGGACCAAGAGUCUGAUCCAGCAAUUCUGUGUGCACGAUGAAGUUUUUCGGAAUGUAAAGUGCUUUCAGUUGGGAAGAAAAAAAUGACGGUACCAACAGAAGGAGUGACGGCUAAAUACGUG